AAAAGUCGUUAGGGGUGCUCCCGUAAGAGGGGGCUGAGAUUAUACCCUUGAACCUGAUCUGGGUAAUGCCAGCGUAGGGAAACGGUCGAAGAAUAAU
Molecule: non-coding RNA, 97 nt
Filed under: Melioribacter roseus
Lineage: Bacteria; Pseudomonadati; Ignavibacteriota; Ignavibacteria; Ignavibacteriales; Melioribacteraceae
Also listed under: 1 other name
Description: TPP sequence
Rfam family: TPP riboswitch aptamer (THI element)
About the family: Vitamin B(1) in its active form thiamin pyrophosphate (TPP) is an essential coenzyme that is synthesised by coupling of pyrimidine and thiazole moieties in bacteria.
Source: RNAcentral